RNAcentral lists this ribosomal RNA (501 nucleotides) under uncultured bacterium. RNAcentral describes it as "partial 16S ribosomal RNA". It matches the Rfam family "Bacterial small subunit ribosomal RNA", at positions 28 to 523 of the family's 1533-position model. The record is from RNAcentral.
GAUGAACGCUAGCGGCAGGCUUAAUACAUGCAAGUCGAGGGGCAGCACAGAUAGCAAUAUUGGGUGGCGACCGGCAAACGGGUGCGGAACACGUACACAACCUUCCUUUUAGUGUGGGAUAGCCCAGAGAAAUUUGGAUUAAUGCCACAUAGUAUAUUGGAGUGGCAUCACUUUGAUAUUAAAGAUUUAUCGCUAAAAGAUGGGUGUGCGUAUGAUUAGGUAGUUGGUAGAGGUAACGGCUCACCAAGCCUGCGAUCAUUAACUGGUGUGAGAGCACGACCAGUCACACGGGCACUGAGACACGGGCCCGACUCCUACGGGAGGCAGCAGUAAGGAACAUUGGUCAAUGGACGGAAGUCUGAACCAGCCAUGCCGCGUGAAGGAUGACGGCCCUCUGGGUUGUAAACUUCUUUUAUGUGGGACGAAAAAGGGCCAUUUUUGGUCAACUGACGGUACCAUAGGAAUAAGCACCGGCUAACUCCGUGCCAGCCGCCGCCGUAA